This 484-nucleotide ribosomal RNA is filed under the name uncultured bacterium. RNAcentral describes it as "partial 16S ribosomal RNA". It matches the Rfam family "Bacterial small subunit ribosomal RNA", at positions 29 to 507 of the family's 1533-position model. The record is from RNAcentral.
AUUGAACGCUGGCGGCAUGCUUUACACAUGCAAGUCGAACGGCAGCGCGGGCUUCGGCCUGGCGGCGAGUGGCGAACGGGUGAGUAAUACAUCGGAACGUGCCCAGUAGUGGGGGAUAGCUCGGCGAAAGCCGGAUUAAUACCGCAUACGACCUGAGGGUGAAAGCGGGGGAUCUUCGGACCUCGCGCUAUUGGAGCGGCCGAUGGCAGAUUAGCUAGUUGGUGGGGUAAAGGCCUACCAAGGCGACGAUCUGUAGCUGGUCUGAGAGGACGACCAGCCACACUGGGACUGAGACACGGCCCAGACUCCUACGGGAGGCAGCAGUGGGGAAUUUUGGACAAUGGGCGAAAGCCUGAUCCAGCCAUGCCGCGUGUGUGAUGAAGGCCUUCGGGUUGUAAAGCACUUUUGGCGGGAACGAAAAGGACUGUGCCAAUACCACGGUUCGAUGACGGUACCCGCAGAAUAAGCACCGGCUAACUACGUG